AGAGUUUGAUCCUGGCUCAGGACGAACGCUGACGGUGUGCUUUAGGCAUGCAAGUCGAACGAGAAAGCCCUUCGGGGUGAGUAAAGUGGCGAACGGGUGAGUAACACGUGGGCAACCUGCCCCUCGCAGGGGGACAACCGGAGGAAACUCCGGCUAAUACCCCGUACGCUCCACGCAUCGCAUGUCGUGUGGAGGAAAGGUAGCUUCGGCCAUCCGGCGAGGGAUGGGCCCGCGGUGCAUUAGCUAGUUGGUGGGGUAACGGCCUACCAAGGCGGUGAUCGGUAGCUGGUCUGAGAGGACGGCCAGCCACACGGGGACUGAGACACGGCCCCGACUCCUACGGGAGGCAGCAGUGGGGAAUAUUGCGCAAUGGGCGGAAGCCUGACGCAGCGACGCCGCGUGGGGGAUGACGGCCUUCGGGUUGUAAACCUCUUUCGGCCCCGACGAAGCGUGAGUGACGGUAGGGGUAGAAGAAGCACCGGCCAACUACGUGCUAGCAGCCGCGGUAAUUC
Molecule: ribosomal RNA, 512 nt
Filed under: uncultured bacterium
Lineage: Bacteria
Description: bacterial SSU rRNA
Rfam family: Bacterial small subunit ribosomal RNA
Source: RNAcentral